AAAUUGAAGAGUUUGAUCAUGGCUCAGAUUGAACGCUGGCGGCAGGCCUAACACAUGCAAGUCGAACGGUAACAGGAAACAGCUUGCUGCUUCGCUGACGAGUGGCGGACGGGUGAGUAAUGUCUGGGAAGCUGCCUGAUGGAGGGGGAUAACUACUGGAAACGGUAGCUAAUACCGCAUAAUGUCGCAAGACCAAAGAGGGGGACCUUCGGGCCUCUUGCCAUCGGAUGUGCCCAGAUGGGAUUAGCUUGUUGGUGGGGUAACGGCUCACCAAGGCGACGAUCCCUAGCUGGUCUGA
RNAcentral lists this ribosomal RNA (298 nucleotides) under Escherichia coli. RNAcentral describes it as "partial 16S ribosomal RNA". It matches the Rfam family "Bacterial small subunit ribosomal RNA", at positions 1 to 295 of the family's 1533-position model. The record is from RNAcentral. Lineage: Bacteria; Pseudomonadati; Pseudomonadota; Gammaproteobacteria; Enterobacterales; Enterobacteriaceae.